GUGCGAGCACGGCGAGGGGCGAGCCCGCACAGACCCGCGCCUGACGGCGUUGGGAGGGCCCCACGCCCCGGCCCGGCCCCACUCAGCGGCGCGUCGGGAGGAAGCGCCGGCCGCGCGGCCGCCAGCCCCUCGGCUCGCCCGCCCCCCGUCUCCUCCCCUCCGCAGCCGAUCCUCCGCCCCCUCCUCCUCCUCCUCCCGCUGGCGGCGGCGGCGGCUUUCUCGGCCCCGGCUCCCGGCUUUUCUCCGCGGCUUCGCCUCGCUCCUCAGCGGGAGGCUCCGCGCCGCGCCGCGCCGGCGAGGACGGCAGUGCUGCAAGGAGCCUCUGGGAGUUCCAGGGAGAAGAGACCAGCCUCUGUUUGGAGACCUUUGCUACGGGUCAAGACCUCCAAGCAGGUCAGGCAGACGUAGCAGGAGCUUGGAAGUUUUACAUCAAGCCUCCACUAGAGCAUUACAGUCCACCAUUCAGAGCCUGAACAGGAGCUCGGCAUUGUGCUUUUUCAGCACCAUGUAUCUUCAGAACUGAGGCUGGAGGAAAGAGGAAUUAAAUGUUCUGUGGUAUGGGAAAGUGUUCUCUUAUCUAGAGAAAAACAUAGCUGUACCAGUCUAAAAUAAAAAAUAUGAUUCACUGACUUGCUCUGAAGGUUUCAGCAUCCUUGGAACACUGCUGUAAGUUGUGUGCUUAAAAAAAAAAACCUGAGUUGUUUUUACAUCAUCAAAACUUUUUUAGUUUUAUAGUUUAUUUUAGAAAAAAAUAAAUGUGCAAUAUUUCAUGUAUUUGAAGUUUGAAUGUUUAUAAAUGCUUAGCCCGGGACAAUUAUGGUGUAGAAAUUAUUUUUAAGUAGCCAUGCUGACCUUACUGCAGCGAUAUGUCUUGGUAUAGAAAAGGAUAUUUAGUGCAAAGACUUGACAAACAGCACCCCACAGCUAAUCAGAAGAGUGACUGAAAGUCCUGCAUUGUCAGAAUGGGGCCACUCUGUUGUAUUCCACAGGGUGAACAUUGCCAUUUUUCUAAUAGUAUUGCUUUCAGCCUUAACUAGUUAAAUUGUGCCUACCUUAUUACCUUUUUGUGUAUUUGUAGUAUCAGUAGAAGAUAUUCAUUUUUUGUAUUUUAAUAUUAAUCUUAGAGUGAAACAGUUUUUUGUGUAUGUAAUUUAUUCAAAAAAAUUUCCUGUAUUGUAAGAUAGCAACAAGCUGUUAAACCUGAAAGGACUAAAAUCAGUAUAAUCAAUGUAGCUUUGUUUCCUUAUUUGUAAAAAUGUGUAUUACAAGAACUACUUCAUAUACCUGUGCACUGUUUCUUUCAAACGUAUUUUCAUCAAGUGCAAGAAACUUAAGAAAGAUGCUAGUUUUGAAACUUCAAGAAUGUGUGUUUUUAAAGUUUUCCUUACCAAUUAAAUCUCUGAUUACUAAAGGAAAGGAACUUUUAAAUCUGAAAGAUCUUUUCCAUUUAUAGUAGCUCUUCAUGGUCACAGCAUAAAUUUUGGGGUUGUUUUUCUUUUCCAGGCUGUAUUUGUUGACUCUGGAUCUUCAUGUGCUUAUACAUUUCUGGAAUUUUGCAGGCUUACAAGUGCAAGGGAUUGUCUGACUACAGCUAUUUUCAUUGUGGGUUUGUGGCCUUUUAAAUAAAAUCUGUUUAUAGCCGCGAUAUGAUGUUCCUUCAAUAUAUUUUGCUUUGCAAACAGUUUCAGAAAACAUUCUCAAUAAACAAUGUCUAAACAUGGCGACUUGAGAUUUCAGGAGGUUUGACCUUAUAUGACAUAGUCUGGUGAACUUUUUCCGCCCCACAAAAAUGAGUUGGCAGUAGCAGCUGCUGUCCAUUUGUGUACAUGAGAUCGGAGGUACUUCAUCUUCUGCGAAGUGGGAGACCGCACCAAUUGCCCAGCCUCCAAACUGGGGCAAGUUUCCCACCUCCCAGGGAAGAUUAUUGGGUAUUCGUGGGUGACUCUUCUUAUUUCAGCUGGAAGCUGUCCUACCUCCUAGAAAUUAAUUACGCAGGAGCAGUGUUACUAAACUGGUUUUCACACCAAGAACCCUAUUUGGGAUUUUUUUUUUUACUCUUUCUGUAAUUUAAAGAAAGCUCACAAAUAUUUGUUUCUAGUGGAAAACUUUUAAAAGUGCCGGAGAAAAGUCAGUCUUUACAUGCACUUUAUAGGAGUUCAAGCACUUGCUGUGGAGGUUGUAUUCCAGUCGGCAUUCCAAAUGAAGCGGAGGUAGAAGUGUUCUCUGUGAUAUCUUUGUUAGCCCCCGCUGCAUUUUGGUGGCCUGCAGCAUGCUCAGAGGGCACAUGCUGGGUUAAGCAGUGUUAAUGAGCAAGGACAGGCAGGAAAAUCUGUGGUUCAUCUAGAGCUUGGGAAUUAGCCAUCAGGCUUAGUUAGCCAUGUGCAUGCCCAUUAAUGUCAAUAACAUGGCCUCUCCCAUGCUGCGCGGCAGCUGUCUGCAGGGCAUGCCUUGAGCAUCCCUCUGCUCCUACGUGUUUCUUCUAGCUUCUCCCAGCUCCUUUCCAUGGGAAUUAAUCAUGGGAGAUGGGGACAAUGUCCAGGUUUUAAUCUAUUGGUGUUUAGGGUGUAGCUGGAGUCAGGAGAGCUCCGAAGUGGUUCUCAGUUUUGGUUAAAGCAGAAGUUGUUGUCUGAGGAGUAAGUGCUCCACUAAAGAGGAUCGGUUUGGGGGAGGGUACACUUAAGAAGUUUCCGAGCUGUUUCCUGGCUGCCUGAUUGCUGGUUGGGUGACUGUUGCAUGGAGCCUGUUUGUGAGACACAUGUCCCUGUGUGAACGCUGGAACAAGGGUGCUCUGGGUGUAUCUUAUGCAUUUUUGCAGAUAGAUGAUGUUGAUCUCCUUCUUCACUGACGCAUGUGAUUUAUACUGAACCAAUUAUGUAUGGAAACCACAAAGGUUUGGGCAGCUUCAAACAUGGCUUGCUCUUAAAAUGGGUUUGUUAGGAAUUUCCACAGAUCUGAGGUGCAAAUUAAUCUGAAGUGUUCCAUUUAGAACUUUUUUUUCAUCAUCUUAAUUAAAAACGUUUUGUUGUUCAGCCUCCCUCGGUUUCCUCCCAGUGUGCAGUGAUGGCACGCAAGGCUGGCCAAUUAAUUAAUUUUGCUACGCAUUGAAAAUGUCGCCUCUUGGAAAAUUAAUGCUUUACCAGGAUGCCAAAUCCAAGCAGGGCUGGAAACAUCAAUGGCCAGGGGCAAGGAGACCUGAGGUGCUGGCUUUUCCUCCUGGCACAGAGGAAGAGAGAAGAGCAGUGGAUAGCACUUGAUGAUCUCCAGAGGUCCAUUCCAAACCCAGCAGUUCUGUGAUUCUGAUGAACACUGAAAUGUUACGGUGCACUGGGGCCAAGCAUCUUCUGAUGAAGAAGACAUUUGGUCUGAUUUCUGAAAGUGCAGGGAAUCUUAGGGAAACUGUGUUGGGCCAGGAGACCAGAAUGAAGGGCUGUGUGGAGCUUGUAGAGCAUAUGCUUAAAUGUAGUGCCUAUGGAGAGAGACAGAAUGAAAAGAACGAAAGUGCUUUGAACUUGGGACCAUUGAGACUGGCUGAGGAGUGAGUGGUUGGGUUGCAACCCAAGGUCUGCCUAAAAGGUGUUGCCUAAAGUUUUGCAAAGUGUUUUAAAGAAAUAUUCAGGCAAAAUACACAUUAAAGUAGAAGUAUUCACAAAAAGCCAGAGCUACAAAUAUAACGAGAAGUUACAUCACAUUCCUUUAUACUUUUUAGGUCCUCUCUUGAAGUAUUUUUCAAUGAGAGGCUGAAAUUAUUCCAAAGAGUGCGGUAUGUUGUAAGCAACACAGGGGUUUAGAGAAAGCAGCAUUGAUUUCCAGUACUGCUUUUACAAACACAGUACAUAGUUUCUGUCUAAAUAAUAAGACAACUUGCUUUUUUCUUUUUUGUACUAUCUUUUUGGAAGAAAGGGAAAUUUCAUUCCUGAGGUUUCUUCUGUAUUUGCGCAGCUGCCUGCACCUUUUACAGAAAUCACAGUUUUCAUGUUUGGGCAGUAUUUACCCAGAAGCAAGUAUCGCUAACAGUGGAUUGUGUCUACUGGGUAAAACAUGUAA
Numida meleagris (helmeted guineafowl) is the source of this 4044-nucleotide RNA transcript. It is a transcript of the gene named family with sequence similarity 110 member B, with no coding region annotated. The record is from RefSeq and is a predicted model, not a curated record. The transcript has 4 exons. NCBI's taxonomy places the organism in Eukaryota, Metazoa, Chordata, Aves, Galliformes, Numididae.